UACAGAGGGUGCUAGCGUUAAUCGGAUUUACUGGGCGUAAAGCGUGUGUAGGCGGUUUGUUAAGUCGGGUGUGAAAUCCCUGGGCUCAACCUGGGAAUUGCAUUCGAUACUGGCAGGCUAGAGUACGGUAGAGGGCGGCGGAAUUCCGGGUGUAGCGGUGAAAUGCGUAGAUAUCCGGAGGAACACCUGUGGCGAAAGCGGCGCACUGGACCACAACUGACGCUGAGGCGCGAAAGCUAGGGGAGCAAACAGG
Molecule: ribosomal RNA, 253 nt
Filed under: uncultured prokaryote
Description: partial 16S ribosomal RNA
Rfam family: Bacterial small subunit ribosomal RNA
Source: RNAcentral